GACGAACGCUGGCGGCGUGCCUAAUACAUGCAAGUAGAACGCUGAAGGAGGAGCUUGCUCUUCUGGAUGAGUUGCGAACGGGUGAGUAACGCGUAGGUAACCUGCCUGGUAGCGGGGGAUAACUAUUGGAAACGAUAGCUAAUACCGCAUAAGAGUAGAUGUUGCAUGACAUUUGCUUAAAAGGUGCAAUUGCAUCACUACCAGAUGGACCUGCGUUGUAUUAGCUAGUUGGUGGGGUAACGGCUCACCAAGGCGACGAUACAUAGCCGACCUGGGAGGGUGAUCGGCCACACUAGGACUGAGACACGGCCCAGACUCCUACGGGAGGCAGCAGUAGGGAAUCUUCGGCAAUGGACGGAAGUCUGACCGAGCAACGCCGCGUGAGUGAAGAAGGUUUUCGGAUCGUAAAGCUCUGUUGUAAGAGAAGAACGAGUGUGAGAGUGGAAAGUUCACACUGUGACGGUAUCUUACCAGAAAGGGACGGCUAACUACGUG
Molecule: ribosomal RNA, 495 nt
Filed under: uncultured bacterium
Lineage: Bacteria
Description: partial 16S ribosomal RNA
Rfam family: Bacterial small subunit ribosomal RNA
Source: RNAcentral